RNAcentral lists this long non-coding RNA (966 nucleotides) under Marmota monax (woodchuck). Lineage: Eukaryota; Metazoa; Chordata; Mammalia; Rodentia; Sciuridae. The record is from RNAcentral.
CCUCCUCACUCCACCCUGAGUUUCUGCUGUUGUAACUCUAGCUACUUUGGGCUUGUUCUCUGGUCUCCUGCUGCACAGAUGGGUCUGUGUGUCCCCAGCCCUGAAAGGGGCCUCCAGGAAGGCAAACUGCUGAUUGUUAGCCUUCAGAAACAGAUCUUGGCUCUGGACUGGGAUAGGGGCUGGGCCGGUGGUGGCGGCAGUGAUAGAUCUGUAACCUCAGAUCUCGCCACACCUUGUCCAUGUGAAUGGUCACCUCUCCAGGUAUGGGCUCAGGUGGAGGUGGCAGGUCAUGAGGGUAGGGGCGGCAGGACCAUUGCUACUCUCCCAUUUCUUUCUCCUCAUAUUCCUUUGCCCAAGUCACGAAAACACAGAGCUUAGAGCAUUCUGCAGCCACUGAGAGACCUCAGCUGUUCUCUCUCGGUUCCAGUGGGAUCGAGACAUGACACAGAGGCAUUCUGAAAGGGUGCUGGCCUUGUCUUCUUCCAGACUCUCUGAUUGGCUCCUUGGCAUUGUGGCCACUGCAAGCCCUGGUGUGAGGACAGAGGGACACCCCCAUUCCCUCCCCGUGUCCACCGGCAACAGCUGAUACCUCUGAGGGCUGCCCCACUGCCCUCCAGUCACUGGUCACUGCGUCCAGGCCAGCUGUGCCCUGGGGGGAGGUACCAGGCCCUCUCAGACCCAGGCAUUUAACUAUGCCCUCUGCCCAGGGCUCAGCCCUCCCCAGGUUCCUGAUGUCCCGAGUCUUGUGAUGUCACCUCAGGUCCUAUGACUUGCCCUGCCCCACACAGGAGGGACCUUGUCCUUGAAGACUUUGGCCUUUCUCUAGAUGCUCUGGUCAGUGUGGCAGGUGGUGUCAGGUGGCAGUGGACCAUGGGGAGGCUCGGAGGCUGAUCUGGGACCGGGGGAGGGGUACCACUCUGCCCUGUGUGGCUGGCUCUGGAUGUAGGUGCAAUGAGUCACGCCUUG